This 328-nucleotide ribosomal RNA is filed under the name uncultured eukaryote. RNAcentral's name for it is "partial 18S ribosomal RNA". It matches the Rfam family "Eukaryotic small subunit ribosomal RNA", at positions 1470 to 1796 of the family's 1831-position model. The record is from RNAcentral.
CCCUUAGAUGUCCGGGGCUGCACGCGCGCUACACUGAAGGAAUCAGCGUGCUAAAACCAUUGUCGAAAGGCAUUGGUAAACCCAUUAAAAUCCUACGUGAUUGGGAUCGGGAAUUGCAAUUAUUUCCCUUGAACGAGGAAUUCCCAGUAAGUGUGGGUCAUAAGCUCGCGUUGAUUACGUCCCCGCCCUUUGUACACACCGCCCGUCGCUGCCCGGGACUGAGCCGUUUCGAGAAAAGCGGGGACUGCUGCUGUCGGGGCUUUCGGGCCUUGGCUUCGGUGGAAACCGCUUUAAUCGCAGUGGCUUGAACCGGGCAAAANUCGUAACA